AUUGAACGCUGGCGGCAGGCCUAACACAUGCAAGUCGAGCGGAUGAAGGGAGCUUGCUCCUGGAUUCAGCGGCGGACGGGUGAGUAAUGCCUAGGAAUCUGCCUGCUAGUGGGGGAUAACGUCCGGAAACGGGCGCUAAUACCGCAUACGUCCAGAGGGAGCAAGUGGGGGAUCUUCGGACCUCACGCUAUCAGAUGAGCCUAGGUCGGAUUAGCUAGUUGGUGGGGUAAAGGCCUACCAAGGCGACGAUCCGUAACUGGUCUGAGAGGAUGAUCAGUCACACUGGAACUGAGACACGGUCCAGACGCCUAAGGGAGGCAGCAGUGGGGAAUAUUGGACAAUGGGCGAAAGCCUGAUCCAGCCAUGCCGCGUGUGUGAAGAAGGUCUUCGGAUUGUAAAGCCCUGUAAGUUGGGAGGAAGGGCAGUAAGUUAAUACCUUGCUGUUUUGACGUUACCAACAGAAUAAGCACCGGCUAACUUCGUG
RNAcentral lists this ribosomal RNA (484 nucleotides) under uncultured bacterium. Its description in RNAcentral is "partial 16S ribosomal RNA". It matches the Rfam family "Bacterial small subunit ribosomal RNA", at positions 30 to 507 of the family's 1533-position model. The record is from RNAcentral.